GGGCUCAGCAGACUGGGAGCUGGAGAUUUCCGAUCAGCCGAGAAACUGGUUCCAGGAGCAGACGGGAAUCUUGGCAAGAAACCUGAGCGUCAUCAACACUCUGAGCAAAAGAAAGAGGUCGUUUUCAGGAGCUGACCUCACAGAUGUGGACGUGGAGCCGACGAAGCAGCUGGACAGUUUUGUGUCCACAGGCAUCUGCUUCCUCGGCAAGGAUGCUGGCGACUGUGUGAAUUACACCGUCAGGUGGUUCUUCGACCACAAACGCAGCGUCUGCUCCCGUUUCUGGUACAGCGGCUGCGGAGGCAACGAAAACCGCUUUGCGACGCAGGCAGAAUGUGAGAGAGUUUGUCUGUCAAAGCACAGAUGAGGCGCUGGGCCACCGAUCUGCACUGAGCUGACACAGCAGCAGAGCGACCUCAGAGCAGCUUCGUCCACAGUGGGUUUUGUUCUGGGCAGUUAAAGUGUGAAGACUUAAACACACACAAGGAGCCGCCUUGUCCUCCACCCAUGUAUGGUUAGUUUAGUUCACUCCUCUGAAACUACUUUACUGAAAUGGAAUAAUCUUUUCUAUGUCACAGGGUGCUAUUUUUAAAGGUAUUUUCAUUUUUAAAUACUUUAAAUGCUUCCAAGAGAAGACAUCACGAGAAUGUGUUGAAAAAUGAUUUUAUGCCUAAAACCUUUAUGAAUUAUGUUUAACAGAUGCCAAAGGAAGCAGGACUGUGAUGCAAAUUUCUACCAGGCGUUGGUGCAGUGCCUUUGCAGCUGCAGCCGGGCAAACAAAAUCUGUGAGAAAAUUUAGAAACAUCAAAAACUAAAGUUAAAACAACGCCAGCUCAAGAAACGCUGCCCCCUGCUGUUGAAAAUAUUAAAACCUGCCUUUAAAAUCCAAAUAUUUCCAAAGCUCGCAGGUGCCUUGAAGCAGCUCCUCUGAAACAGCUGCAUGUAUUUUGUACUGUUUGUUUCUGAAUAAAAGUUUGUGUUUAGAUAA
This is a long non-coding RNA of Haplochromis burtoni (Burton's mouthbrooder), 988 nucleotides long. RefSeq lists it as uncharacterized. The transcript is spliced from 3 exons. The record is from RefSeq and is a predicted model, not a curated record. Lineage: Eukaryota; Metazoa; Chordata; Actinopteri; Cichliformes; Cichlidae.